Molecule: long non-coding RNA, 1783 nt
Organism: Symphalangus syndactylus (siamang)
Lineage: Eukaryota; Metazoa; Chordata; Mammalia; Primates; Hylobatidae
Source: RefSeq, a predicted model, not a curated record
UUUUUAGUGAAGAGAUCAGGAGAGCUAUUCCAUUUGGAAAACAUUGAUUUUCAGCAGGGCCCAUUUUCCCCAAAUUCAAGGAACACAAAACCAGUUAAUUCAGAAAUGUGGGUAUAGAUGACUGUCUAGAAAUAAUUAAUUAUAACUUCUGAAGAGCUGUCAUAGGUAAUACCAUGUCUUUAAAUUAAUAACAGUUUACAUCACCUGUAUUGUGUUCCACAAAAACUGCUGUUCCAUUCUAUUUGACCUUAAUUGGUAUAAUUGAUAACAGCUACAGCUUGGAGUGUCAUUUUAAUCAUGUCAGAAGAAGUCUCCUGACAGAAGAAAAUAAAAUCGCUGUUGUGAGUUAUUUAUUAUUAGUGGGGAAACAGAAAGGUAAAAGAAAUGACUGUUGUUUUUUUUUUAACCUGCAACUUUGGGACUUCUGAAUUAUAACAGGCAAUUUACUAAUGGGAUUAAAGGGCUUGUGCUAAUUGCUAAAAAAUUAAUGAAAACUAGUUCAUAUGUAAUUUGACAUAAUUGAAAAAAUGAGAAAAUUAGUUGGUUGCAGGUUAGAGAUAUCAAUAAACAAUUCAAGACAAAGAGAAUAUUCUAAAAUGUUCUAAACGUUAGUACGACCCCUGGUGAAUAAGAUUUUUAUAACAGAUAUGCUGUUUAGCGCUGAUUAUUUAAAAGUUCAAUUUUUAAAUUUGAAGUAGAAAUGAAAAAUUAUGCUAGUUAUAAAUGUGACUAUUUAUUGCUGAUUUGAAUGGGUUGUUCAGUGUGUUCAUGGAGGCAGUGUAUACAUGGGGUUAAAUGUUGAAAAAAUAGAUAUUGCUGGUUUAAUAGUCUUUUUGUGAUAAAACACAGAGUCAAUAGUGAGUCUCCUAAGCCCUUUUUCUACCAAAUAUUGCUGAAUUAUUAUAAAAUAAUGAGCUGGUCUUUCCAAGAAAACAUUUUGUCUUUCACCUUUAUCACUACUUUUUAGAUAUUUCUUUCUGUUUUUCAAAAAAUAAUAGGAAGGCAAAAUUUAACAAUAGGAACUCAGGAUUUUAAUUUUUUUUGGCAAUUGAAAAAUGUGUACUCUAUCUACCUAUUGAAGAAAUCUGAAUUCUGAGCCAUUUCUUAUUUCUUGCUUUGUUCUUGUUUUUUUUAAAUUUGAGUAACAUGCAUACUCUCCUUUAUGACUUGUAACAAUUGAGUCAUUAUGAUAUGUUUGUAGUUUAGUGUGUGAUAUGGUUUGGCUCUGUGUCCCUAUCCAAAUCUCAUCUUGAAUUGUAAUCCCCACGUGUCCAGGGAGCACCCAGGUGGAGGUAAUUAGAUCAUGCUGUUCUCAUGAUGUGAAUGAGUUCUCACAAGAUCUGAUGGUUUUGUAAGUGUUUGGAAGUUCCUCCUGCAUUCACUCACUCCAUCCUCUUGACCUGUGAAGAAGGCAUCUGCUUGUCCUUUGCCUCCUGCCAUGAUUAAAGGUUUCUUGAAGCCUCCCCAGCAAUGUGGAACUAAUGUGAAACCCCGAAGCUUUGCUGCCUUUUCCACAAACCUGUGAGUCUUCCAUAUCUCUUCCUACUUGUUGCUCACUCAUCCUCCAAAACUAAAUUUACCAUGUACAUUACAUCUUUAAUGUAUUACAUCUUUAAUGUAUAUCUCUCCCCUACCGAGGAAGAUGGAAAAAUACAUAUUGCAAGAAAGGUUGAAUUCAUAUUGAUUAGGUAAGAAAGUCUAAUUUCCAAAUUAGAACUUGAUAAAAGAAUACAAUUAGAGAUUAUAAUCACUUUGAGAAAAAGAUCUGGCAGUGUCCUAUAAA